Long non-coding RNA from Carassius auratus (goldfish), 1085 nucleotides. RefSeq lists it as uncharacterized. Lineage: Eukaryota; Metazoa; Chordata; Actinopteri; Cypriniformes; Cyprinidae. The transcript is spliced from 6 exons. The record is from RefSeq and is a predicted model, not a curated record.
AACUGAAAGGAGGAGCUGUGUGCGCGCCUGCGCCCUUACAUCUGCAGAGCAUUUGGUGUGAAGCUACACAGAUUUUUCCGCGUCAAAUUUUCCUUGUAUUUUGAAGAUCAAUGGACAACUUUGUCAUUAACACUUUGACAGACCUUGUGACUUGUCAAAAGAUUUAACAUUAGAGCCCCUCAGCCAGAUAGAGACCUACAAAGGACCAAGUGGAUUAGGGACAACAAUUGGACCAUCGAUCAGAUCCAUGAUUGCACGGGACUUUCUUGUCCUACAUGGGGAUGCUGCAUCAAAGUUGUCUGAAACUUGGCUACCCAUUUAUGCUGAGAAGAUCCUGUACCUGUAAGACAGGAGGGGAAGCUGACAUUGCCCCUGGAUGGAUUAACACCAGAUGGUGUUGGGGAACUCGCCCUGAGGCAGUUGCCAGCCUUGCUUCUACCUACAAUUUACAAAGUUGGCCACGGUGUGAAAGUAGUUCGCCUCACCAUACAGGAAUGCAGCUUGGCCUUCAUCAACCAUAAGCCUCCUGGAAUAAACAUGGUGGAGGUCCUUCAUGAGGUCAAGGCGUGCAAGUCAUACCCCCACAUCCUGACCCUGGGAAAUGAUCAGAGUGUGUUUCAGGCCUUCGGCUAAAAUGGUUAAGUUUAUUCAAACUAGAAUUCUUGCUUGCAAGUAGAGCUAAUGGCUCUUAAAAGCAGCAAUUAGGAAUUUGAAUGUAUUCACUAUAGAUCUGCUGUUGGUCUGUUGAAUGUUCAGCCACAGUUCAGUCGAAAUUGUUGUUUUGCUCUGAAUGUUUGAACUGAAUCAUUUCUACUUUAUUGUUGAUAUUAAUGUAAUAAUUUUUUUCAAACAUUCCAUUGCUUUGUUUUUUUAUUGUUUAAGUGUUUAUUGCAUAAUAUGCAUAAAUCUAGCAUGUAUUCGGUUCUAGGUUUGUAGUUUCACAGUUUUAUAUGGGUCGUCUAUUGCAGUUUAUUUUCCUAUUGAAAGUGAAAGUGAAGUGACAUUCAGCCAAGUAUGGUGACCCAUACUCAGAAUUUGUGCUCUGCAUUUAACCCAUCCGAAAUGCACACACACAGAGCAGUGAA